Molecule: ribosomal RNA, 1360 nt
Filed under: uncultured bacterium
Lineage: Bacteria
Description: bacterial SSU rRNA
Rfam family: Bacterial small subunit ribosomal RNA
Source: RNAcentral
AUUGAACGCUGGCGGCAGGCCUAACACAUGCAAGUCGAGCGGUAGCACAGAGAGCUUGCUCUCGGGUGACGAGCGGCGGACGGGUGAGUAAUGUCUGGGAAACUGCCUGAUGGAGGGGGAUAACUACUGGAAACGGUAGCUAAUACCGCAUAACGUCGCAAGACCAAAGUGGGGGACCUUCGGGCCUCAUGCCAUCAGAUGUGCCCAGAUGGGAUUAGCUAGUAGGUGGGGUAACGGCUCACCUAGGCGACGAUCCCUAGCUGGUCUGAGAGGAUGACCAGCCACACUGGAACUGAGACACGGUCCAGACUCCUACGGGAGGCAGCAGUGGGGAAUAUUGCACAAUGGGCGCAAGCCUGAUGCAGCCAUGCCGCGUGUGUGAAGAAGGCCUUCGGGUUGUAAAGCACUUUCAGCGGGGAGGAAGGCGUUAAGGUUAAUAACCUUGGCGAUUGACGUUACCCGCAGAAGAAGCACCGGCUAACUCCGUGCCAGCAGCCGCGGUAAUACGGAGGGUGCAAGCGUUAAUCGGAAUUACUGGGCGUAAAGCGCACGCAGGCGGUCUGUCAGUCGGAUGUGAAAUCCCCGGGCUCAACCUGGGAACUGCAUUCGAAACUGGCAGGCUAGAGUCUUGUAGAGGGGGGUAGAAUUCCAGGUGUAGCGGUGAAAUGCGUAGAGAUCUGGAGGAAUACCGGUGGCGAAGGCGGCCCCCUGGACAAAGACUGACGCUCAGGUGCGAAAGCGUGGGGAGCAAACAGGAUUAGAUACCCUGGUAGUCCACGCCGUAAACGAUGUCGAUUUGGAGGUUGUGCCCUUGAGGCGUGGCUUCCGGAGCUAACGCGUUAAAUCGACCGCCUGGGGAGUACGGCCGCAAGGUUAAAACUCAAAUGAAUUGACGGGGGCCCGCACAAGCGGUGGAGCAUGUGGUUUAAUUCGAUGCAACGCGAAGAACCUUACCUGGUCUUGACAUCCACAGAACUUUCCAGAGAUGGAUUGGUGCCUUCGGGAACUGUGAGACAGGUGCUGCAUGGCUGUCGUCAGCUCGUGUUGUGAAAUGUUGGGUUAAGUCCCGCAACGAGCGCAACCCUUAUCCUUUGUUGCCAGCGGUUAGGCCGGGAACUCAAAGGAGACUGCCAGUGAUAAACUGGAGGAAGGUGGGGAUGACGUCAAGUCAUCAUGGCCCUUACGACCAGGGCUACACACGUGCUACAAUGGCAUAUACAAAGAGAAGCGACCUCGCGAGAGCAAGCGGACCUCAUAAAGUAUGUCGUAGUCCGGAUUGGAGUCUGCAACUCGACUCCAUGAAGUCGGAAUCGCUAGUAAUCGUAGAUCAGAAUGCUACGGUGAAUACGUUCCCGGGCCU